GGCGCGAAAACUUUACAAUGCUGGCAACAGCGAUAAGGGAACCUCGAGUGCCAGGUUACAAAUCUGGCUGUCGAGAUGCCUAAAAAGCAUUUCAUAGCAAGGGCCGGGCAAGACCGGUGCCAGCCGCCGCGGUAACACCGGCGGCUCGAGUGGUAACCGUUAUUAUUGGGUCUAAAGGGUCUGUAGCCGGCCGGAUAAGUCUCUUGAGAAAUCUGGCAGCUUAACUGUCAGGCUUUCAGGAGAUACUGUCUGGCUCGAGGCCGGGAGAGGUGAGAGGUACUGCAGGGGUAGGGGUGAAAUCUUGUAAUCCUUGAAGGACCACCAGUGGCGAAGGCGUCUCACCAGAACGGACCUGACGGCAAGGGACGAAAGCUAGGGGCACGAACCGGAUUAGAAACCCCAGUAGUCC
Molecule: ribosomal RNA, 409 nt
Filed under: uncultured bacterium
Lineage: Bacteria
Description: partial 16S ribosomal RNA
Rfam family: Archaeal small subunit ribosomal RNA
Source: RNAcentral